AUUGAACGCUGGCGGCAUGCUUUACACAUGCAAGUCGGACGGCAGCACAGAGAAGCUUGCUUCUCGGGUGGCGAGUGGCGAACGGGUGAGUAACAUAUCGGAACGUACCGAGCAGUGGGGGAUAACUAAUCGAAAGAUUAGCUAAUACCGCAUAUUUUCUGAGGAAGAAAGCAGGGGACCUUUGGGCCUUGCGCUGUUUGAGCGGCCGAUAUCUGAUUAGCUAGUUGGUGGGGUAAAGGCCUACCAAGGCGACGAUCAGUAGCGGGUCUGAGAGGAUGAUCCGCCACACUGGGACUGAGACACGGCCCAGACUCCUACGGGAGGCAGCAGUGGGGAAUUUUGGACAAUGGGCGCAAGCCUGAUCCAGCCAUGCCGCGUGUCUGAAGAAGGCCUUCGGGUUGUAAAGGACUUUUGUCAGGGAAGAAAAGGGCGGGGCUAAUACCCCUGUCUGAUGACGGUACCUGAAGAAUAAGCACCGGCUAACUACGUG
RNAcentral lists this ribosomal RNA (490 nucleotides) under uncultured bacterium. Its description in RNAcentral is "partial 16S ribosomal RNA". It matches the Rfam family "Bacterial small subunit ribosomal RNA", at positions 30 to 507 of the family's 1533-position model. The record is from RNAcentral.